UUUCCCCGUCUCCUCUCUCUCUUUUUUUCCUCCUUCUUCUUUCCUGUCUCUUCUGUUUCUUAUCUUCUUCUUCUUGAAAAAUAGCAACCUAUAAAGUGUUUCUCUCAGACUCUGCUCUCUUCCGAGAAUUUGAUUCAAACUCGGCCCUGGAUCUCUCUUUUAGUUCAAGUUUCUUUUCUUGCUUAUGUUGAUUUUCUUUACUGGGAGGAAAAAUCUGGUUUUGGGUUUAGUUGGUGUUGAUUGUGAAAUUUGGUGA
Molecule: long non-coding RNA, 256 nt
Filed under: Rosa chinensis
Lineage: Eukaryota; Viridiplantae; Streptophyta; Magnoliopsida; Rosales; Rosaceae
Description: sRNA RchiOBHm_Chr7g0226471
Source: RNAcentral